AGCAGUCGCCGCGGGAAUACCAGCACCUCGAGUGGUCAGGAGGUUUACUGGGCCUAAAGCAUCCGUAGCCGGUUGUUUAAGUUUUCGGUUAAAUCUAUGCGCUUAACGUAUAGGCUGCCGAAAAUACUGGACAGCUAUGGAGUGGGAGAGGUACACGGUACUCAAUAGGAAGGGGUAAAAUCCUUUGAUCUGUUGAUGACCACCUGUGGCGAAGGCGGUGUACCAGAACACGUUCGACGGUGAGGGAUGAAAGCUGGGGGAGCAAACCGGAUUAGAUACCCCCGUAGUCCCUGUCUCUUAUAA
Molecule: ribosomal RNA, 303 nt
Filed under: uncultured bacterium
Lineage: Bacteria
Description: partial 16S ribosomal RNA
Rfam family: Archaeal small subunit ribosomal RNA
Source: RNAcentral